CACACUAUCAUUAACUGAAUCCAUAGGUUAAUGAGGCGAACCGGGGGAACUGAAACAUCUAAGUACCCCGAGGAAAAGAAAUCAACCGAGAUUCCCCCAGUAGCGGCGAGCGAACGGGGAGCAGCCCAGAGCCUGAAUCAGUGUGUGUGUUAGUGGAAGCGUCUGGAAAGGCGCGCGAUACAGGGUGACAGCCCCGUACACAAAAAUGCACAUGCUGUGAGCUCGAUGAGUAGGGCGGGACACGUGGUAUCCUGUCUGAAUAUGGGGGGACCAUCCUCCAAGGCUAAAUACUCCUGACUGACCGAUAGUGAACCAGUACCGUGAGGGAAAGGCGAAAAGAACCCCGGCGAGGGGAGUGAAAAAGAACCUGAAACCGUGUACGUACAAGCAGUGGGAGCACGCUUAGGCGUGUGACUGCGUACCUUUUGUAUAAUGGGUCAGCGACUUAUAUUCUGUAGCAAGGUUAACCGAAUAGGGGAGCCGAAGGGAAACCGAGUCUUAACUGGGCGUUAAGUUGCAGGGUAUAGACCCGAAACCCGGUGAUCUAGCCAUGGGCAGGUUGAAGGUUGGGUAACACUAACUGGAGGACCGAACCGACUAAUGUUGAAAAAUUAGCGGAUGACUUGUGGCUGGGGGUGAAAGGCCAAUCAAACCGGGAGAUAGCUGGUUCUCCCCGAAAGCUAUUUAGGUAGCGCCUCGUGAAUUCAUCUCCGGGGGUAGAGCACUGUUUCGGCAAGGGGGUCAUCCCGACUUACCAACCCGAUGCAAACUGCGAAUACCGGAGAAUGUUAUCACGGGAGACACACGGCGGGUGCUAACGUCCGUCGUGAAGAGGGAAACAACCCAGACCGCCAGCUAAGGUCCCAAAGUCAUGGUUAAGUGGGAAACGAUGUGGGAAGGCCCAGACAGCCAGGAUGUUGGCUUAGAAGCAGCCAUCAUUUAAAGAAAGCGUAAUAGCUCACUGGUCGAGUCGGCCUGCGCGGAAGAUGUAACGGGGCUAAACCAUGCACCGAAGCUGCGGCAGCGACGCUUAUGCGUUGUUGGGUAGGGGAGCGUUCUGUAAGCCUGUGAAGGUGUGCUGUGAGGCAUGCUGGAGGUAUCAGAAGUGCGAAUGCUGACAUAAGUAACGAUAAAGCGGGUGAAAAGCCCGCUCGCCGGAAGACCAAGGGUUCCUGUCCAACGUUAAUCGGGGCAGGGUGAGUCGACCCCUAAGGCGAGGCCGAAAGGCGUAGUCGAUGGGAAACAGGUUAAUAUUCCUGUACUUGGUGUUACUGCGAAGGGGGGACGGAGAAGGCUAUGUUGGCCGGGCGACGGUUGUCCCGGUUUAAGCGUGUAGGCUGGUUUUCCAGGCAAAUCCGGAAAAUCAAGGCUGAGGCGUGAUGACGAGGCACUACGGUGCUGAAGCAACAAAUGCCCUGCUUCCAGGAAAAGCCUCUAAGCAUCAGGUAACAUCAAAUCGUACCCCAAACCGACACAGGUGGUCAGGUAGAGAAUACCAAGGCGCUUGAGAGAACUCGGGUGAAGGAACUAGGCAAAAUGGUGCCGUAACUUCGGGAGAAGGCACGCUGAUAUGUAGGUGAAGUCCCUUGCGGAUGGAGCUGAAAUCAGUCGAAGAUACCAGCUGGCUGCAACUGUUUAUUAAAAACACAGCACUGUGCAAACACGAAAGUGGACGUAUACGGUGUGACGCCUGCCCGGUGCCGGAAGGUUAAUUGAUGGGGUUNNNNNNNNNNNNNNNNNNNNNNNNNNNNNNNNNNNNNNNNNNNNNNNNNNNNNNNNNNNNNNNNNNNNNNNNNNNNNNNNNNNNNNNNNNNNNNNNNAGGCGAAGCUCUUGAUCGAAGCCCCGGUAAACGGCGGCCGUAACUAUAACGGUCCUAAGGUAGCGAAAUUCCUUGUCGGGUAAGUUCCGACCUGCACGAAUGGCGUAAUGAUGGCCAGGCUGUCUCCACCCGAGACUCAGUGAAAUUGAACUCGCUGUGAAGAUGCAGUGUACCCGCGGCAAGACGGAAAGACCCCGUGAACCUUUACUAUAGCUUGACACUGAACAUUGAGCCUUGAUGUGUAGGAUAGGUGGGAGGCUUUGAAGUGUGGACGCCAGUCUGCAUGGAGCCGACCUUGAAAUACCACCCUUUAAUGUUUGAUGUUCUAACGUUGACCCGUAAUCCGGGUUGCGGACAGUGUCUGGUGGGUAGUUUGACUGGGGCGGUCUCCUCCUAAAGAGUAACGGAGGAGCACGAAGGUUGGCUAAUCCUGGUCGGACAUCAGGAGGUUAGUGCAAUGGCAUAAGCCAGCUUGACUGCGAGCGUGACGGCGCGAGCAGGUGCGAAAGCAGGUCAUAGUGAUCCGGUGGUUCUGAAUGGAAGGGCCAUCGCUCAACGGAUAAAAGGUACUCCGGGGAUAACAGGCUGAUACCGCCCAAGAGUUCAUAUCGACGGCGGUGUUUGGCACCUCGAUGUCGGCUCAUCACAUCCUGGGGCUGAAGUAGGUCCCAAGGGUAUGGCUGUUCGCCAUUUAAAGUGGUACGCGAGCUGGGUUUAGAACGUCGUGAGACAGUUCGGUCCCUAUCUGCCGUGGGCGCUGGAGAACUGAGGGGGGCUGCUCCUAGUACGAGAGGACCGGAGUGGACGCAUCACUGGUGUUCGGGUUGUCAUGCCAAUGGCACUGCCCGGUAGCUAAAUGCGGAAGAGAUAAGUGCUGAAAGCAUCUAAGCACGAAACUUGCCCCGAGAUGAGUUCUCCCUGACUCCUUGAGAGUCCUGAAGGAACGUUGAAGACGACGACGUUGAUAGGCCGGGUGUGUAAGCGCAGCGAUGCGUUGAGCUAACCGGUACUAAUGAACCGUGAGGCUUAACCUU
RNAcentral lists this ribosomal RNA (2854 nucleotides) under Escherichia coli. RNAcentral's name for it is "partial 23S ribosomal RNA". It matches the Rfam family "Bacterial large subunit ribosomal RNA". Lineage: Bacteria; Pseudomonadati; Pseudomonadota; Gammaproteobacteria; Enterobacterales; Enterobacteriaceae. The record is from RNAcentral.